RNAcentral lists this ribosomal RNA (239 nucleotides) under Kluyveromyces marxianus. RNAcentral's name for it is "partial 26S ribosomal RNA". It matches the Rfam family "Eukaryotic large subunit ribosomal RNA", at positions 1 to 236 of the family's 3401-position model. The record is from RNAcentral. Lineage: Eukaryota; Fungi; Ascomycota; Saccharomycetes; Saccharomycetales; Saccharomycetaceae.
UUGACCUCAAAUCAGGUAGGAGUACCCGCUGAACUUAAGCAUAUCAAUAAGCGGAGGAAAAGAAACCAACCGGGAUUGCCUUAGUAACGGCGAGUGAAGCGGCAAAAGCUCAAAUUUGAAAUCUGGCUGUCUUCGACGUCCGAGUUGUAAUUUGAAGAAGGCGACUUUGUAGCUGGUCCUUGUCUAUGUUCCUUGGAACAGGACGUCAUAGAGGGUGAGAAUCCCGUGUGGCGAGGAUC